This 76-nucleotide transfer RNA is filed under the name Holosporales bacterium. RNAcentral's name for it is "tRNA-Val". It matches the Rfam family "tRNA". Rfam says of the family: Transfer RNA (tRNA) molecules are approximately 80 nucleotides in length. Their secondary structure includes four short double-helical elements and three loops (D, anti-codon, and T loops). Further hydrogen bonds mediate the characteristic L-shaped molecular structure. tRNAs have two regions of fundamental functional importance: the anti-codon, which is responsible for specific mRNA codon recognition, and the 3' end, to which the tRNAs corresponding amino acid is attached (by aminoacyl-tRNA synthetases). tRNAs cope with the degeneracy of the genetic code in two manners: having more than one tRNA (with a specific anti-codon) for a particular amino acid; and 'wobble' base-pairing, i.e. permitting non-standard base-pairing at the 3rd anti-codon position. Lineage: Bacteria; Pseudomonadati; Pseudomonadota; Alphaproteobacteria; Holosporales. The record is from RNAcentral.
GGUCGCAUGGCUCAGUUGGUAGAGCGUCGCGUUCACAUCGCGAAGGUCAUAGGUUCAAAUCCUAUUGCGACCACCA